This 547-nucleotide ribosomal RNA is filed under the name Aspergillus westerdijkiae. RNAcentral describes it as "partial large subunit ribosomal RNA". It matches the Rfam family "Eukaryotic large subunit ribosomal RNA", at positions 88 to 650 of the family's 3401-position model. Lineage: Eukaryota; Fungi; Ascomycota; Eurotiomycetes; Eurotiales; Aspergillaceae. The record is from RNAcentral.
GGCGAGUGAAGCGGCAAGAGCUCAAAUUUGAAAUCUGGCCCCCUCGGGGUCCGAGUUGUAAUUUGCAGAGGAUGCUUCGGGUGCGGCCCCCGUCUAAGUGCCCUGGAACGGGCCGUCAUAGAGGGUGAGAAUCCCGUCUGGGACGGGGUGUCCGCGUCCGUGUGAAGCUCCUUCGACGAGUCGAGUUGUUUGGGAAUGCAGCUCUAAAUGGGUGGUAAAUUUCAUCUAAAGCUAAAUACUGGCCGGAGACCGAUAGCGCACAAGUAGAGUGAUCGAAAGAUGAAAAGCACUUUGAAAAGAGAGUUAAAAAGCACGUGAAAUUGUUGAAAGGGAAGCGCUUGCGACCAGACUCGCCCGCGGGGUUCAGCCGGCAUUCGUGCCGGUGUACUUCCCCGUGGGCGGGCCAGCGUCGGUUUGGGCGGCCGGUCAAAGGCCUCCGGAAUGUAGCACCCUUCGGGGUGCCUUAUAGCCGGGGGUGCAAUGCGGCCAGCCUGGACCGAGGAACGCGCUUCGGCACGGACGCUGGCAUAAUGGUCGUAAACGACCC